This 252-nucleotide ribosomal RNA is filed under the name uncultured bacterium. Its description in RNAcentral is "partial 16S ribosomal RNA". It matches the Rfam family "Bacterial small subunit ribosomal RNA", at positions 524 to 776 of the family's 1533-position model. The record is from RNAcentral.
UACGUAGGCAGCAAGCGUUGUUCGGAGUUACUGGGCGUAAAGGGUGCGUAGGCGGCUUUUUAAGUUUGGUGUGAAAUCUCCCGGCUCAACUGGGAGGGUGCGCCGAAUACUGAGAGGCUAGAGUGUGGGAGAGGAAAGUGGAAUUCCUGGUGUAGCGGUGAAAUGCGUAGCUAUCAGGAGGAACACCGGUGGUGUAAACGCUUUCUGGACCAUAACUGACGCUGAGGCACGAAAGCGUGGGUAGCAAACAGG